ACUCCUGCGGGAGGCAGCAGUGGGGAAUUUUGGACAAUGGGCGAAAGCCUGAUCCAGCAAUGCCGCGUGAGUGAAGAAGGCCCUCGGGUUGUAAAGCUCUUUUGUCAGGGAAGAAACGGUGAAAGCUAAUAUCUUUUGCUAAUGACGGUACCUGAAGAAUAAGCACCGGCUAACUACGUGCCAGCAGCCGCGGUAAUACGUAGGGUGCAAGCGUUAAUCGGAAUUACUGGGCGUAAAGCGUGCGCAGGCGGUUUUGUAAGUCUGAUGUGAAAUCCCCGGGCUCAACCUGGGAAUUGCAUUGGAGACUGCAAGGCUAGAAUCUGGCAGAGGGGGGUAGAAUUCCACGUGUAGCAGUGAAAUGCGUAGAUAUGUGGAGGAACACCGAUGGCGAAGGCAGCCCCCUGGGUCAAGAUUGACGCUCAUGCACGAAAGCGUGGGGAGCAAACAGGAUUAGAUACCCUGGUAGUCCCAU
This 472-nucleotide ribosomal RNA is filed under the name uncultured organism. RNAcentral's name for it is "partial 16S ribosomal RNA". It matches the Rfam family "Bacterial small subunit ribosomal RNA", at positions 335 to 798 of the family's 1533-position model. The record is from RNAcentral.